RNAcentral lists this ribosomal RNA (425 nucleotides) under uncultured prokaryote. Its description in RNAcentral is "bacterial SSU rRNA". It matches the Rfam family "Bacterial small subunit ribosomal RNA", at positions 355 to 796 of the family's 1533-position model. The record is from RNAcentral.
UCGAGAAUCUUCCGCAAUGGACGAAAGUCUGACGGAGCGACGCCGCGUGCGGGAUGAAGGCCUUCGGGUUGUAAACCGCUGUCAGAGGGGAGGAAAUUUUGACCGAUCCUCAGAGGAAGCACAGGCUAAGUUCGUGCCAGCAGCCGCGGUAAUACGAACUGUGCGAACGUUAUUCGGAAUCACUGGGCUUAAAGGGUGCGUAGGCGGCUAUGAAGGUCAGGUGUGAAAUCCCACGGCUCAACCGUGGAACUGCGCUUGAAACCGCAUAGCUUGAGGGAGUCAGAGGUAAGCGGAACUGAUGGUGGAGCGGUGAAAUGCGUUGAUAUCAUCAGGAACACCGGUGGCGAAAGCGGCUUACUGGGACUCUUCUGACGCUGAGGCACGAAAGCCAGGGGAGCGAACGGGAUUAGAUACCCCCGUAGUCC